This 504-nucleotide ribosomal RNA is filed under the name uncultured Glomus. RNAcentral describes it as "SSU rRNA". It matches the Rfam family "Eukaryotic small subunit ribosomal RNA", at positions 569 to 1074 of the family's 1831-position model. Lineage: Eukaryota; Fungi; Glomeromycota; Glomeromycetes; Glomerales; Glomeraceae. The record is from RNAcentral.
AGCAGCCGCGGUAAUUCCAGCUCCAAUAGCGUAUAUUAAAGUUGUUGCAGUUAAAAAGCUCGUAGUUGAAUUUCGGGAUCAAUAUAUCGGUCGUGCCUUCGGUACGUACUGGUAUCGUUGAUUUCUACCUUCUGACGAACCAUGAUGUCAUUAAUUUGGUGUCAUGGGGAAUCAGGACUGUUACUUUGAAAAAAUUAGAGUGUUUAAAGCAGGCACACGCUUGAAUACAUUAGCAUGGAAUAAUGAAAUAGGACGUUUGACCCUAUUUUGUUGGUUUCUAGGAUCGACGUAAUGAUUAAUAGGGAUAGUUGGGGGCAUUAGUAUUCAAUUGUCAGAGGUGAAAUUCUUGGAUUUAUUGAAGACUAACUACUGCGAAAGCAUUUGCCAAGGAUGCUUUCAUUAAUCAAGAACGAAAGUUAGGGGAUCGAAGACGAUCAGAUACCGUACGUAGUCUUAACCAUAAACUAUGCCGACUAGGGAUCGGAUGAUGUUAAUUUUUAAUGA